Molecule: ribosomal RNA, 449 nt
Filed under: uncultured soil bacterium
Lineage: Bacteria
Description: bacterial SSU rRNA
Rfam family: Bacterial small subunit ribosomal RNA
Source: RNAcentral
AGAACGAACGCUGGCGGCAGGCCUAACACAUGCAAGUCGAGCGCCCGUAGCAAUACGGGAGCGGCAGACGGGUGAGUAACACGUGGGAACGUGCCCAAAGGUACGGAACAACUCCGGGAAACUGGAGCUAAUACCGUAUGUGCCCGAAAGGGGAAAGAUUUAUCGCCUUUGGACCGGCCCGCGUCUGAUUAGCUAGUUGGUGAGGUAAUGGCUCACCAAGGCGACGAUCAGUAGCUGGUCUGAGAGGAUGAUCAGCCACACUGGGACUGAGACACGGCCCAGACUCCUAGGGAGGCAGCAGUGGGGAAUAUUGGACAAUGGGCGCAAGCCUGAUCCAGCCAUGCCGCGUGAGUGAUGAAGGCCCGUAGGUUGUAAAGCUCUUUCGGCGGGACGAUAAUGACGGUACCCGCAAGAAGAACGCCCCGGCUAACUUCGUGCCAGCAGCCGAC